UACAGAGGGUGCGAGCGUUAAUCGGAAUUACUGGGCGUAAAGCGUGCGUAGACGGUUAUUUAAGUCGGGUGUGAAAGCCCCGGGCUCAACCUGGGAAUUGCAUUCGAGACUGAAUAGCUAGGGUACGGUAGAGGGAAGCGGAAUUUCCGGUGUAGCGGUGAAAUGCGUAGAUAUCGGGAGGAACACCGGUGGCGAAGGCGGUUCUCUGGGCCUUACCUGACGCUGAGGAGCGAAAGCGUGGGGAGCGAACAGG
RNAcentral lists this ribosomal RNA (253 nucleotides) under uncultured bacterium. RNAcentral describes it as "partial 16S ribosomal RNA". It matches the Rfam family "Bacterial small subunit ribosomal RNA", at positions 524 to 776 of the family's 1533-position model. The record is from RNAcentral.